AUGCCAUGCAUAUUUAAACCAGACAUGCAUCAUACUUGUUUGCGCAUCAUGCCAUGUUAUGUGAUGGUUGUUUACUAUAUUGUGUGUUUCUUUCCGGUGUUGCUUCUUCGAGUUGGUUCCGAUAACGUUGCAUUUGUGAGGACCCGUUCGUCUACGUCCGUUUGUCUUCUUCAUGGACUCGUUCUUCUUCCUUGCGGGAUUUCAGGCAAGAUGACCAUACCCUCGAAAUCACUUCUAUCUUUGCUUGCUAGUUGCUCGCUCUUUUGCUAUGCCUAUGCUGCGAUACCUAUCGCUUGCUUAUCAUGCCUCCCAUAUUGUUGA
Molecule: ribosomal RNA, 321 nt
Filed under: Triticum aestivum (bread wheat)
Lineage: Eukaryota; Viridiplantae; Streptophyta; Magnoliopsida; Poales; Poaceae
Description: partial small subunit ribosomal RNA
Source: RNAcentral